GAGAAGCAGUCUGUUGUGCUUGCAGGAGAAUUUGAUCUACAGACGCAUCAGAAACUCAGGCAUCCAUCUGAACAUUGAUCAUCAUGUCACUCACCAACAUUCUUAAACCUGAGGACAUUAAGAAGGCAGUCGACACCUUUGAAGCUGUAGGCUCAUUCAAGCAUAAGGAGUUCUUCAAGAUAUGUGGCUUGUCCACAACGCCUCCAGAGAAGGUGCGAGAGGUGUUCAAGAUCCUUGAUGGUGACAAUAGUGGCUACCUUGAAGAAUCUGAGCUCA
Long non-coding RNA from Cyprinodon variegatus (sheepshead minnow), 276 nucleotides. RefSeq lists it as uncharacterized. Lineage: Eukaryota; Metazoa; Chordata; Actinopteri; Cyprinodontiformes; Cyprinodontidae. The record is from RefSeq and is a predicted model, not a curated record. The transcript is spliced from 3 exons.